UUUACUAUAGUAAUCAACAUGGAUUGUGCGAGGUUAAGGGUUCAAUCUUGACUAUGGAGAAAACUCUAUUGGGAGCGCUGUCAUCCGAAUUAGUCCCGCCAACCAAGAAAGCAAACAAGCAAUUUCAUAAAGUGUAUGUGCAUCUUCCAAGUAGGUUCAUGAGAAACUCCUCCACAACUUCUCUUGACUCAAAUUUCCUAGUCUUUGAGUAAUUGAGAAUUGACAUCACUUUUGUCCCUUUACCCUCCUAUAUAUACAAAGAAAACACACACACAUAUUCAUUCAUGUACACACAAACAUGACAAACUCUACACCAUUCACAUUAAUUUGUGUUCAAAGUCUAUGGAUCACAUUUAACUAUGUUAGUGUAAUGUAUCGAGCGUAUAUAAACAAUCAGUACUCCUUCUUAGCUUUCAUCUUAUUCGUAUACUUCAAUUCUCUCUUGGUGUAUUACUUAUCCUCGAUAUAUCGAAGCCUUCCAUUGAAAAAUAAGUCAUUGGAGAAGAGCUUUUUGGGAUUUGCUAUAUGGUUCUUCAUGACUUCAAUUAUUUGUGGAUUUGCUUAUCAAUUUUAUCCAUUUUUUGGAUUUUGGUCUGGUCUUCCUAUUUAUUUGAUGGGCAUAGCUAGUAGUGGAGUUAUGUUUUAUGACUAUAUUAUUUGUGAUUAUCAGAAUAAAAAUGAUGGUUAUAAUUGGAGGUGCUUUAGUAGCAAUGAUCAUGUAAAGGGAAGUUAUUGUGAAGAAAAAUGGGAGGUCAUUUGGGAAAAAGUUUGACCAUCGCUCGAUAUGUAAUAAAUUUUCAUUAUGUGCAGAGUCUGAAAAAAAAAAAAAAAGUCAGACCGAUAAAAUCUAUUGUACGCAGUAUUACGUAAUCCGAGUUACUAGAAAGUAAUAAAACAUGUUUGUUCGUACAAAGUACCAUUCUCAGUGAUAAUCAAUAUGACAAAUUAAUUAAUAUAGAGUGACACCUUAAUUGGUGACUAAUUAGUCAUAAAUUUGUAAUAUGCAAGAAUUUGAUUAUCUAAGUCAAAAGUCAGGACCUUAAAGCAACCGUAGAGUGGUCUAUGUAUAAUCGUUGUAAUUUAAUUUGAAAAUAUUAUAACAUACAAGUGAUAUAAAAUAAGGAAUAUAUAUUGAAAAUGAAUCGAUGUUAAAGUUGUCUUUGUGUGAUCUAUAGAUCACGAGUUCAAGCUAUGAAAGUUGUAGCUAACAGAGGCGGACCCACAUGUUAGGGUGGGGUCCACGUGCACCCGUUAAGUUCGAAAAAAGUUUUGUAUAGUACAUGUAAAUUGUAGAUAUCUAAAAUUUGUGGGACUUUACAAAAAGAAUUUAAAUUUUGUUAGAGUUCUUAGAGUCUAGUUUACCCUAAAUCCUGAAUUAUGUCUAUAUAAAGGGCCAAAUAAGCAUCUCCAAUAUUCCACAAAUUCACGGGAUAUUCACAAAGAGAUCAACGAUCUUCAAAGUCCCAAUAAAUUCAUGGGAUGUUUAUAGAUCAAAACUCUUUCUUCUUGAUGUUUAUAGAUCAAAACUCUUUCUUCUUGAUAAUCAAAUACAUCAAGAAGAUACACAAAACUUCCUUUCAUGGAGAUCAAGUCCAAAUAUUUCUACGUUCGAGAAAUACGCCACUAACGGUCCUCGAAUUACAGAGAAAUCAAGACAAAACCUCCUUUCAUGGAGAUCAAGUCCAAAUAUUCCUAUGUUCGAGAAACACGUCACUAACGGCCCUCGAAUUAUGGAGAAAUCAAGAGAAAAGAAUCAAGGGAGGAAUAGAUUUAUACCCAUAUCGUUUAUCAACAAAAUAAAAAAUUCUUGUUUCUUCAUAUUUUUAUUUGUGAUUGAAAUUUAUUUUUCAUGAAUUAAAUUAUGUUAGAAACAUAUACUCCCUCCGUCUGUGUCGUCAUUUGACUGGACACAAUAUUUAAUCCUAGAAAUAAGUAUUGACUUUGUUAAAAUUACAAAAUUACCCUUCUUAAAAAAGGAGUAAUAGUAUUUAAAAUCAAGUGGGACCACUUUUAAUUGAAAAACAAAUAAAAAAGAAGUAAUAGUAUUUAAAGUCAAGUGGGAUCACUAAAGGUAAAAUUGUAAUUGUGUUUUUAAAAACUUACCAAAUAAAGAAAGACAACAUUCUUUUUGAGACCGAGCAAAAAGGAAAUAACGACACAUAAUUUGAGACGGAGGAAGUAUAUCUUAAGAAACAAUUAUAUAAAUUAUGUGCACCUUGAAGAACACUGAUGAAUGUUGGUCGCAAUGAUUCUACCUGACGUUUUCCUCGAAAGUGACCCCAGGAUCGAAUCUCAUGGUCAAGUUUCCUUUGCCCCAAAGUGACCCAAGAUCGAAUCCCAUGAUCAAGUUUCCUUUGCAACAAAACUAGUAGUAAGGAUUCAAACCUGUGAUGUCUUGCUUACACAACACACCUUUUACCGCGGGACUACUUCACUCAUCUACUUUCAUAGAGUUAAGUUUUAUAUAUUAUCCUAAAAAUUAUAUUUGACCUAUAUAUUUAUAUUUUCAUUAUUGCUUAAGACUCCCAGUCAAUCAGACACGGUACUAUUCCUUAAUCGUCAUUGGAACAUUCUCGAAUGCUUAUGUUAAAAUAAAGGUGCACUCGCACUUUUUAAAUCCCUCUGACAGCUAAUAUUUAUAUUAAGUUAGACUGUCUAUUAGAUUGUCUAUAUCACACUUCUUGAGGUGGUAUGCUUCUCCCUCGUGAAAAAUUAGUUCAUUUCCAUGAACCUACCAAGAAGCAACAAGCAUACAACUUCAACUACAAUAAAUGAGACAUCUUCCAUGAGAUUUCAAAGAAAAUUCCAUACAGCUACUCCUUUCCCACAUUAAAGUCCUUUCCAAAGUGAUUUGACACUAAAGUUUGUUUCUUUAUUCUUUAUUACCUAUACAUGUAUACACAUAGCUACAUACAAAGAUAUCACACACACGAAAAAAAAAGUCUUCAAAUUAAGUCUCUUUGACACGUUCUCUUCAUAUUAAUUACAUUUUUCAAACGUCAUGUAUACACCGAUGAAGAGCAUGUUGAAAAAUAUGUUUAAUGAGCGCAUCGAAAAAUAUACGAAGAAAAACAUAAAGAUGAAGACUUGACAAAAAUUAAACAUUGAACAUAAAAUUAUGAGGCUUGAAACACGCGCAAAACGUUUUCUUAAAAAUAAUAUUUGUUCCCUCUUCUCUACGAGAUUGGUAUGAAAUUUAAUGCAAAUAGUUUUAGUGUCUGUGUAUAUGACAAGUCUUUGGACUUCUGCACCAAGCAAAUAGUACAGAUAAUCUUAUUGGAAAGCAAGAAAUCAAGAACUUGAUCUUUUAGAAAGAAAAUAACUCUUUGGAAAAUGUUGUAAGGAAAGUACUAUGUGAAAAGUUUCUCUAAAACUUUCUGUAAAGAUGCACCGAAAGCUCAAGAGAUAGGAUAUGAUAUAGAAGGGGUGAAAAUCAAAUGCUGAAAGGACACAACUAUUCAUCUAAGAGACACCUCUUCAUCUAAAAAUCAUAUCGAUCUUAUAAAAAAACACAAUUUCAUAAAAAAAAAAACAAAUAAUAUUAAUUAUUAAUUUAUUUUAAAUAAAAAUCCAAGAGAGCAAUCGUCAUUGCCAUGGAAGUAGUAAAAGAAAUAAUUUAACAAUUUUGAUUCAAGUAACAAUUGCUGCGUUCUUUAAUUAUCAAAUUAUUUUUCUUUUUAACAUUCAUCAAAUUAUUGUUCACCAAGGGGAUUUAAUGCCGUAUAAAGGAAAAACACUUGUGCUGCUUAUAUUCUCUUAAGACUUAUAAUAAACAAUAUCUGUGCUGUUUGAGGUGUCUGUAUCAUCAACAUGCAUGUAUCAUCGAUAUAUUUGCUUGGUAUUUCAUGAGAAAUUGACAUAGAUGUACCACAACCAGUCACGACAAAGAAAGUUUUGCUACCUUAAUCUUCAAAAUCGUAAUAAAAUCAAAUUUGUAGAAAUCGAAUCAAAUCAAAUUUAUUUUGAUUUGAUUACGAUUGUCAUUUUUGUCAAUCCAAAAUUCGAACCGAUAUGAAAAAAUCAAACCAAACAAACUGAAUGUCCACCCUACAUGCAACUAUUUACAACUAAAUGUCUCUUUACAUAAAAUGUCGCCCUAACACAUUCUUGCUUGGUAGCGCUAGUUAUUUAUCUCCAUUUUAAUUUUAUUUUUUUUUAAUUUCUCUACUUUUUUUUUUCUCAUUUCCUUUCUUUUAUGUCCCCUUUUUCAUUUAAUUAUUUUAUAAACUUCAAUUCCAACUUUAAAAAAUUUAAAUUUUAUGGCCAAACGCCUAUUUUUUAAGGGAGGAGAUAUAAAUACUCUAGCUUUUUGGUCCAUUUUGUACACUUUUCCCUAUUUUAUCAAGAUUUGAGGAAUCCCAAGAUCCGAUCGGAACCAAACUUUGCCACCGAACUGAAAAAAAAUAUCAAAAUAUGCCAUGUAUUUUAAAAAUUACCAAACUAUUAUGCAUAAAUUUUUUAACGGCAGACUACAAACGUCGUUAGAUUUUUUGGAAAGUGCAUAACUCACAAAAACUAUGAGUUAUCCAUUCUUAUUUUAACAUAACUCAUAAUUUUUGUGAGUUAUGCAUUUUAUUUUAACAUAACUUACAAAAAUUGUAAGUUAUCAAUUCUUAUUUUAACAUAACUCACAAUUUUUGUGAGUUAUCCAUUUUUAUUUUAAAAUAACUUUCAAAAAUUGUGAGUUAUUCAUUUUAACAUUAAACAAUGAAAAACGUUUUCGAUCUUCUAUCUAACAUAUAACUGCAGUGACCUUAUCAUCAUACCAAUUUUUUUUUCAUGAAAACUAAUGUAAAAUAUAAGCUUUUUAAAUGUAUAAUGUAUCCUUAAACAUAUUAUAAGGAUGUCAUGAAGACUAAUAUCUAAUGUAAAUUUUCUAAUAGAUAAUGUAAAUAUCUAAAGUAUAAUAUGACCAUAAAACCAACAAUGUAUAAAAGUAGUAUCUAAUGUAAACUUUGUAAUGUAUAAUGUAAAUAUCUAAAGUAUAAUGUGACCAUAAAACCAACAAUGUAUAAAAGUAGUAUCUAAUGUAAACUUUGUAAUGUAUAAUGUUAAUAUCUAAAGUAUAAUAUGACCAUAAAACCAACAAAAGCUUAUGUGCCGAAAAAAGGAGGCGAGAUUGGAUGAGAGAUUUUGAAAUAACGUAUAACCUUUAACUAUUCAAAACUGUACAAAUAUGACCCCGAUCAUACGUGGUAAAACGUGCGUUCAACACGCAAAACUGAGCCCGUCUAACUUAAAAUCUAAGGGCAUAAUACAUAAAUAUGACCCCAAACUUGACACUAAAUUAUAACUUUGACAAUGCACAAAUAUGACCUUUAACUAUUCAAAACAACACAAAUAUGACUUUUAAAUGACUUUUCACUAUUAUUUUUUUCAUAAUUUUUAGCUCAAAGAUGAAAAUGACAUCUAAUUUCUUUUGUCAUUGCGGAAAAAGAGUAAUAUUGAAGAUUUAUUAAUUAAGUGGGUCAACCUCAUACGAAAAAAUUGCGCGGGUAUGUAAAUAUAUUAUAAAGCAGAGGGCGAAUUUAAGUUAUAUAAUAUAUCUAAAUAUAAUUUAUUUAAAUAUUAAAUUAAAGAUGAAGAUAUACUAAUAAUAAAAAAAAUUAUAAUUUUAAUAAAACGUUAUUAAGGAUAUUAGUAGUAUAUUAAAUUAACGUUAUUAAAACGUUAUUAAAUUAAUGCAGGAGUGGACCUACGUGGUUGCUAUGGGGUUCACCCUAAACCCCUCGGUAAAAAAAUUACGUUGUAUAUAUAAGGUAGAAAAUCUAUAUUUAUGUACGUAUAUUAACGUUGAACCACAUGAAACAAGACACUUAGAUAGUCCAGUGGUGUUAUUUACUCUUCUUGGACGCUUCCUUCAGCCUACUGUGUGGGUUCAAUCCCUGUGAAUGACUGUUCUUUUUGUGCUGCUGCUAUAGAAAUAAAUAAAAUAAUAAUAAAAACGAUGUCGUUUUCACACAAAAAGAAAAACUUUGACAGUGCACAGAUAUGACCUUUAACUAUUCAAAACUUCACAAAUAUGGCCUCCCUCCAAGUUAGCCCUUUUAACGACGUGGCACCGUGUGAUUGGAUUACCUUUCCACGUAGGCGCGAGUGAAACUCACGCAUGAGGUUGCAAAAUCGGAGGUCAUAUUUGUUCAGGUUUUGAAUAGUUAAAGGUCCUAUUUGUGCAUUAUCAAAUUUUAAGGUCAAAUUUAUCAUUUAGUGUCAAGUUUAGGAUCAUGUUUAUGUAUUACCUCUUUUUAGUUUGGUGGCAUAGUUUGAUUCCGGACUCCUAAAGUGGUCGAUCCGGCCCAUUUUCAACCCGACCCGGACAACUAAACAAAGCAAUAUACAUAGGCGGGUCUAGAAAUUGCCGCCAUUUUUCCAUUUUCCCUUUUACUUGUUCUUCCAACUUCCAGAAAGUUUCAACUCCGAUCAACUUUCUGGCGAACCACCACUGCACCAUGGCGGAGCACCACCCUUCAACGACUUCCAUAUUCCCCGGAAAAUCCUCCGUUCCUUCAAACGACACCGUUUUCUUCUCCAUAUACCCCGACUUCGCCUUUAACCUUUACAUAAUACCCACUACCCGAACCAAUCAACUCCACUUCCUUCACACCGAAAUCCUCCGGUUCCUCUCCCCUUACACUUCUUCUUACAUCUAUCAACACCACCCCAUCAGCCUCACCCCCACCCCCUCUACCCCCACUACCCCACCUUCCCUCUCCGGCCAUCUCCGUUACGGCGAUAACAUCGAUGAUGAAUGGUUCGUAGUCUUCCUCCUUUUCCAAAUAUCUCAUAAAUUCCCAGAUGUAUCUAUCCAAGUUUAUGAUUCUGAUGGAGAAUUUUUACUAAUUGAAUCCGCUUAUCAUCUCCCUAAAUGGGUCAACCCGGAUAGUGUACCUAAUCGGGUUUUUAUCCGGGGCGGGUUACUUCACAUUAUACCGAAUUCGUUACUUCCCGGUACUCCAUCAGUCUUCGAUUCGGUAAGAUUGUUGAGCAGUGGAGUCGGUUCGGAGCAAAGUCGAGCACCCGAAGGAGUACAGAAGCAGUUGGAGAGUAGGUUGAGGGAGUAUCCGGGGAGAAUUGAGAAAAAUGUGCAUAAGGUUAGGGUUAGGGUUCCGGUGAGUGUAGCGAAAGUGUUGAAGCACGAGGGGUGUUUGAUAUCGUUAGCUGUAGAAGGGUUUUACGAUAGGGAUAUUGAUACGAUGAAGUAUGCGGGGAAGAUGGAGAGGUUUUUAGGGGAGAGGGGUAGUGCGGAGGAGUUGGUGAGGGUUGUGGUUAGGAUGAGUAGGGCAAUGUAUGCACAGUUGAUGCAACAGACGUUUACGGCGCCCAAAUGUUAUCCUGCAUUGCCACCUAGGAGUGAUGUGGAGGGGUAUAAGGAAGCGGAGCUGGGAAUGAAGAUUGCUUGUGGAUUUGAGAUGAUUUAUCAGUUGAAGAAGAGGCAGUGUAUGGAGGGAAAAGGGAGUAGUUGGGACGCGUUUAUGCAGAGUUUAGAACGGAACGGGCAUUUUGAAGGGUUGUUACCGGGGUCAUAUCUGUAUAAAAGAUUGAAGCUGAAUGCUGAGUUGUAUUACAAGGAUAGUUCACUGCUUGAGAGAGAAAGGUAUCGCUUGCUUGUUAGUUUAUAUUAAAGUUUCAAUCUUUUUUGAUGAAAUUCUAGAUGAUGCACUUUGACAACGUAUUAGAAUUUGUGACAACGAGAUUUGGUAUCUGGCAUUUGGUGCAUAUAUGUCUAAUUAUCUUUCCUGCCAGGAGGAGGGUGUAUGCAGUGCUAGUUUUCUAGGAUACUCAUGUAUUACAUUUCAGUUAUGUUGAAUUGAACGUUAUUAUGGGAAUGGACUGGUUGUCAUCAUAUUACGCUAAGCUAGUUUGUCGAACCAGUUGUUAUGUAAUCAUUGUAGAGACACAAAACAAAAAGGUUUGUUUCAUUGUUAGAAUAUCACUGAUAAUAUCUGCAGAUUGGUUAAAAUAUUUCAUAGUGUUCAUAUUGUCGGGAUAAUUUCUGCAUGUUGGGUUAAAUAUGGGCAUUGCCUUAUCUGGAUCUAUCUGGUACCAUUUGCAGAUUCAUGAAUCCUAGGCUAAAAUGUCUCUUGGGUGUGUCUGUGUAGCUAUGUCUCUUGAUUUUGCUUCUUUCUUUGAUGAUACGACAGCUUAUGACCAUCCCUCAUGGUUUUCCGAUAUUGAGUUUAAAUUGUUGUUUAUUGUCCUAUGUGCCCUAGAUGUCAGAGUGAAAAUUUGAAGCUUCUAUAUAGCGGAAUUUGUGUGUACAUAAAUGAUAAGGGUUUUGUAAACCUUUUGCCUUACUAAAAGAGAAGUUUGAAAGUUCUAUAUAAGUGACAUGGUCAUAUUGUUUACUGUAAUGGUCCUUUGUUUUCUGCUUGAUUUACCAUUUUUCCCUCUUAUUGCUCAAUAUACUGUAUGAGAUGGCCAUGUGUGUCUAAGUAUUCCUUAACUUGCUGCUGACCAAUACUGGAAAAAAAACAGUGCUAUGCUAAGUGCUCCAGUGCAAAGAAUAGAUGAGAUCCUUGCCCUUCCUGAGUCUGCUGAUGACUUUAAGGAUCAGGAGCUACCACCAUCUGAUGAUGAUUCAUGGCUUUAUGGUGGGGAGGAUGAGCUAAAUGCUGUUCUUCAAGAGAGGCAAAAGGAGAUGGAACUUUACAACUCAAAAAAGAAACAAAAAUCAAAAGAGCAGGAUGGCCCCAGCAAUGGUUCUGAUAAUUUUGAUUUAAAAGAUAUAUCGAAGUCUAUGCAAGCAUUUGUUACGAAAGUGGCCAGCUAUGAAGGUGCAGAGGUUCCAGAAGACAGGUUUUUGUCCUUCAUAUCUCUCAUUUUAGCAUGUGGAGUAGCAUAUACUUGGUAUCUUUUAUUUUAUUCUUAUUGGCAAUUGAUUACAUUGUAGCAUCUAAUAGUUAAUAGUUUGGAUUUGUGCUAUUUCAAUUUUACUUGCUAAGUAUAGUGAUUGUUUUUUAAAGUAUUCUGGUGUGCAAGAGUAAAAUUAGAUGUGAUAGUUAUGAAGCAAAUUGCGUCAUCAAUUUGGUCAUAAAUAUUAAAUUCCUUGUAAUAACAAUAGAUAUAAAGUCAUAGGAAGGCUAGUUUGGUUAAUCCCAUCGUAUCUAUAUUCUUUUUAGCAGCAUUCCUUUUGGUCCGUCAGUAUCUUAUUUUGUGUUAUCCCAUCUCCAAUAGGAAUCUUAAGGGCGUGGACUUUGAUGUGGAUCUCUUUAUGAAAGACAUGGAAUCGUUUGUGAGGCGUCAAGGCAAUGAAGACACUGGCAGGGAUGUUGAUAUAGGAGAAGGGUCAUCAUCAGAUAUGGAGUUUGGUGAGUGUUUUAUUUAAUCUCUCUUAAGUCAAUCUUUUUGGUUGCACUAGUCAAAUGCUAUGCACCUUUACAUGCAGGUUAGAAUUUGUUCCUUAUUUGUACUAUUGGUGGCUCUGUGCCAAUGAAAAUUCCUAGUCUAGAUGGGUAUCUCCCUGCUUUUCGUUUGUCUUUUAUUUUUCCUACUAUUAUUUGGUUGCUUUUGUUACCUUUUUUGGGGGAGGGGUGAAUGGGAUGUGAGACUUGCUUCCCGUAGGCUGGGCUUGGUUGGGAUAGGGUAGUGGGGUGCCAGAUCGUUUUCCUCCUCUUUAGGAGGUGAAGUGAUUGUAAGGAGGUCAGUUAUCCCUCCAUGGCAGCUUUUACCUGUCCAACUUUAAUCUGUCCAAUAUGGAUAAUAUCCCUUUUAUAUAGGGAAGUUGAGCAGGUAGCUUUCCCCCCCUCUUCCUGGAGGAAGUAACGUAGUAUUAGUGAAUGGUUGAGUUCACCUAUUUUACGCAAUCCCAAAUCCUUCUGGAAAUACUAUUGGAUUUAAUUUUUUUUGUGUGGGGGUGGGGGAAUAUGCUAAAAGUUGUAACAUGUUCACUCAUCAAAAAGAAAAAAAAAAUCAUCUUCUACAUGUUAAAAGAAAAUGCUGACUAAGAAGAAAAAGUGACAUCUAUUGCACAUACAGAUGAAUCUGAAGAUGAGAUUGGCGAUGAGGAAGGUGCUGCUUUCAUGCAUUCGUAUUCGGACGCUCUGAAUGAAGAACUGAAAGGCACCACACUAAGUAAUACCUUUGUUCGUGCAAAUGGAGAGUCCGUCAAGAAAGAUGAGGUUAGUCUAUGCUUCCAAUAAAAUCAUAUGUGUCUUCUAAUCCUGCCUGGAGAUAAGCUUUCAGCUGGUAGCAAUACUCCUGCUAAUGCUAAAUUUACAGUCGAUAUUUGCCCCAAAAUCGUUCAGCAUUAACACGUGUAGAGUCAUGAUUUCUCUAUUGCUGAAUCACUCAUUGGACGAAUAUAUGUUGUAUCAGGGAACAUCUACUGCUACAGAAAGCAUGGAAGAGGAGUUCACUCCAGUAGAUGUUGAUUUCAAUCUCGUAAAGAAUUUCCUCGAUUCCUUUUCUUCUCAAGACGGACUUCCAGGACCUGCCUCUAAUCUGCUUGGACUUAUGGGUCUUCAGCUACCACCAGAUGCUCCUAGCAAAAGGAAAUAAGAAGCAUAUGCUUGUCGUGCAGCUUAUUUCUCGACUCCCUUUUUUCCCAUUCAAAUUCCAGUCUUUUGAUGGCAUUUCGAGUUUUUCCAUUUGAUAUGAACUUAUAAAUACUUUGAUGGGGAUGUUGAAUGUUGUAUAUCACCUGUUUGUAUGAGUUUAUAUAAUUCGUCUUCUCCUUGGUUCCACUACAUGUAAAUGUGGACCAUACACAGCCAAAACACACACACAGAAAAGUUUGUGUACUUAAAUAGCAAAAAAGAAAUUGUUGGCUUUUCAUCAGUCGUUGCGCGCGCUAGCCCUAGCCUAAGCCUAUGAUCUUAUAUAGAUAACAAAUACGGUAAGAAUUACGUGUGUCGGAUUCUUCAGAAGUUACAUGAAUAGCUAUACAUAUUAUAGCAGCUUCUUGCUUGUGAGUUAGCUUGUGUGUGUCGGAUUCUUCAAAAAUUACAUGAAUAGCUAUACAUAUUAUAUCAGUUGCUUGCUUGUGACUUGUGAGUUAGCUUCACACAACAACAUAUCUAGUGUAUUGCCACAAAAUGGGGUGUGGAGAGGGUAAAGUGUACAUACGACUACAUCUGAUGAAGUAGAGAGACUGUUUUUGACAAAUUUCUAAUUCAAAAUAGAUAACAAUAAAGACAAAAAAAAAAACAAAAAACAUAAAAGCACGGCUAGAUAAUAAAGAAAACAAGGUAUCCAUAAAAUAAUAUUAUAAAUUAUCUAUUUGAAAUUCAAAACACACCAAAACAAAUAACUUCAGGCAUAGAUACAACUUACAAACAAAAUAAUUAUCUUCAUGCAGGGUUUGGAUAAAAUAACUACAUCUCAACAAGUGGGAUGUAGAUUAUUCAACCUUCCCACGAAACACGUUAAUAUUUGCAAUAGUAUUAGACUCAAAAAGUAUAUACAUAUAACUUUUAGAUACCUUUAGUCAAGUCAAUAAAAAAAGAAAAUGGACCAAAUUUUACUAUGAGCACCACUAAUCCUAGAUUAGAACUUUGGAAUUAACAACUAACGAUUCAUACAGGUAUUAAAUACCGGGUGAAAAAUUAAUUAAAAAAUAGAAAAUGGAUAAAUAUAUCUUCGAACUAUAAUAAAUGAUACAUAUAUACCUUCCGUCAUAUUUUGGAUACAUAUAUGUCCCUAUCGUUAAUGAAAUGGUACGUAUAUAGUAUAUACCCCUCACACUAACAGUAGAGACAUAUGUAUACCCAAAGUAUGAUGGAGGAUAUAUAUGUAUCAUUUAUCAUAGCUCGAGAGUAUAUUUGUCCCUUUUCUACUUUACUUUUAUUUUUUAAUAAUUAACACAACUCCAUUACUCGAUUGGGUUUUAAUUGGGACCGGAUUGGGUAGUGGAUUUAGGUUUAGUUAUUUGGGAUUAAAAAAAUUAAAACAGAAAAGAAACAAAUAUACCUCCGAACUAUGAUAAAUGGUACAUAUAUACCUUCCGUCAUAUUUUAGGUAAAUAUAUGCCCUAUCGUUAGUAUGAGGGGCAUAUGCGUAUGAUUUUAUUAGCGGUAGGCAUAUAUAUGUACCCUAAAUAUAAUAGAAGGUAUAUACGUACAAUUUAUCAUUGUUCGGGGAUAUAUAUGUUCCUUUUCCGAUUAAAAAUAAUUGAAACAAGUCUUAUGUUAUCUUCCAAUGUAGACAAACAUCAUCAUAUAAAUUGGGACGAAAUAGAUUUUCUAUAGUAGACGAUCAGUUUGAUAAUUCAUAUUCUCUCUAUUUCAAAAAAGAAUUAUCUAUUUUUCUUUUUAAUCUGUUCAAAAGAGAAUUAAAUCUCCUUUCUUUUUUUUUGGCAAUACUCUGAUCUCAACUUUGAACGUGUAUAUUUGAAACCACAAGAUUCAAGCGCAUUUUGAUACAUUUCACAUAAUUUUAAUUUAAAAUCAUAAAAUUUAAAAGUAUUUUUAUUUUCUUAAAUUUAAUACUGAGCUAAAGUAAAAAUAGAUUAUUCUUUUCGAAACGUUUCGAAUAAUUAGAUUGGAAUAAUUAUAUUGUUUCCUCUUUCUUUUUCAUUGCCUUUUUUAAAGGGCAAGUAUUACAUACUUGACUUUGAUUCUCGAUAAAUAAAAAUAAACGGAGGGAAUAUUAUAAAUAAAAGUUAAGAACAUCUCCCAAUCAAUAUAAGAAAAAUACCAUACGUUUAUUAGAAUAACAAUAACAAAAUCCCACUCAAAAUAAUUUUUUCUUAAAAAAAAAGACUAGAAUUUUUUUAUUUUUUUUAAUUAUGGCAACGGCGGCGAUUGAUUUAUUGAAGAGUGAAAUUCCGGUGGAGGAAGAUGAACCGUUGAUUCUCUCCGGCGACAUUAACACCGGUUUAGUACUCGUUGAUAUCGUUAAUGGCUUUUGCACCGUCGGAGCUGGCAAUUUGGUAAUUUUAAUUAUGUUAGUUUACAUAUCAUUUAAUCUAAUUUGUAUGUAUUAUGUACUUUUUUUUUUCUUUUUGGAUCUAUAUGAAAUAGACAACAAAAAGAUUUUUUUUUUUUAAAUCAAUUUAAAAGAAUCUGUAUGAUCCAUCUGUCCUAUUUUGUUUGGAUCACUUUCUAAUUUUUAAUUAAAGUUAUUCAAAAUUGUAGUAACUUGUAAAUACUAUUAUAAUAAUCGUGAUAUCUCAUUAACUUGCAUGCAACUCGACUAAUUUACACAUGACUUGGACAUUUAAUAUUACUUUCUCAACCAAAAAAUAUUAUAAUCGUGAUAUCUCAGUUAACUUGCAUGCAACUCGACUAAUUUACACGUGACUUGGACAUUUAAUAUUACUUUCUCAACCAAAAAAUGUAAUAAUCAUAAUAUCUCAGUCAACUUGCAUGUAACUCGACUAAUUUACACCUGACUUGGACAUUCAAUAUUACUUUCUCAACCAAAAAAUAUAAUAAUCGUGAUAUCUCAGUCAACUUGCAUGCAACUCGACUAAUUUAUACCUGACUUGGACAUUCAAUAUUACUUUCUCAACCAAAAAAUAUAAUAAUCGUGAUAUCUCAGUCAACCUGCAUGCAACUCGAUUAAUUUACACGUGACUUGGACAUUCAAUAUUACUUUCUCAACCAAAAAAUAUACUACUUUAAAAUUUGUACAUUUUCUAUAAUCGUAGUAUCUUGGUUAGUUUGCAUGUACUUCGAUUAAUUUUACGAAGUAUUAUCGCUCACUAGCACAAGUAUCAGAUAGCUCUGUUUGCGUGACUUGGACAUUUGAAAUUAAUACCUUACCUUCUCAACCAAAAAAUAUACUACUUUAAAAUUCAUACUUUCUUCAUAAUCGUUGUAUGUCGGUCAAUUUGUAUGCAACUCGACUAAUUUUAUAGUAUCUGCUAUCUCUCACUAGCAAAGGUAUUGAAUAAUUCUCAACCAAGAAAAGAAAACGUUAAAAUUCAUAUCUUUCUUAUAAUCAUGGUAUCUCGGUCUACUUGUGUGCAGCUCAACUAAUUUCAUAGUAUUGGCUAUCUCUCACUAGCAAAGGUACCGGAUAACUCUCAACCAAAAAAUAUACUUCAAAAUUCAUAAUCUUUUUUAAUAACAAUGGUGUCUCGGGCAACUUGCAUGCACCUCGAUUAAUUUCACAAUAUCUUCUUUCACUAGUUCAGGUACCAAACAACUCUGUCAAUCUGACUUUGACAUUCAAAAGUAAUACCUUGCCUUCUCGAAAAUUAGUCGAGGUGCGAGCAAGCUGGUCCGGAUAUCAUAGUUAUCAAAAACAAAAAAAUCAAUACCUUACUUUCUCGAGUCUCAACCAAAAAUUAUACUUUAAAAUUUUAUAUCUUUUUUGUAACUGUGUAUCUCUGCCAGCUUGCAUGCACCUUCCCUAAUUUCACAGAAUUUCAUCUGAAGUAGAGAGGUUGUUUUCGAUCGACGCCCACUCAGGACACACACACAUAUAUAUAUAUAUAUAUAUAUAUAGACACACACACAAGUGUCUCUGUGAUGAGUGUGUGUAUACAUGCAUGUUUAAUCGGGUUCGUGUGUUAGAAGCUAAAUAUAAAGUGUAAAAAGCAAGAACCCGAAUUGGAAGUUUGAUGAGUUAUACUUUGAAGUCUUUAUAGUAGUUCUGCAGUUAUUUGUUCAUGGAAGUCUUAGCUGCUUCUUUAUUUUAGAAAAAUAAUUUCCCUAUAGCCAUUCUUCUUGAUAUUAGACAUACACUAUCCACCAAUGUAAAGGUAUGUUAAGCAUGACUUGCAUAACGUUUGGAACUUUUUAGCCGAAUGACUGUACAAGUUUAAUGAUGGCCUAUGUUGUUUCGAGUUCGGACUCUUCAAAAAUGUCAUCGGGGGCUUGUUGGAUCCUUCAAAAGUAGUGCAUUUUUGGAGGAUCUGACAUACAGUAUCUACCAAUGUAAAGGUAUGUUAAGCAUAACUCGCGUAAAGUUAGGAACUUUUUAGCCCAAGGACUGGACUGGUUUAAUGAUGGUCUAUGUUGUUCGGACUUCAGACUCUUCAAAAAUAUCAUCGGGAGCAUGUCAGAUCCUUCAAAAGUAGUGCAUUUUUGGAGGAUCCUACACGGGUGCGGCAACAUUUUUGGAGAGUCCGGACAACGUAGAUGAUGGUGAUUAAAUUUAUUAGAGAAGAAGCUAUUGUUAGAUUUCUUGAUCACUUGAGCUGGAAAUUAAGCUGGUCUACUGCUGUUUCUAUGUAACAUUACUUCUAACUUGACGAUAGCGAUUCUUGGAAAAUCAUCUUUUUCUUUCCUUAAAUGACUCUACUUUCUUGAGGUUCAGGAUCUGCACGGAAGAGAAUUUUGUAUAAUAAUCGAACCUUGCAUCUUGAAGGUUUUUAUGUAGGAUCUCCACUAGGGAGCUUCGUUCAUUCUAUGCAAUCUUCUUUGAUUUGUUUCGUUCUCUCUAUCACUCUCUGUCUCUUUCUAUUCAUAUGUUGUUCCAACGUUUGUUUCUCUAUCAUUUCGGUGAUUGUAUUGGGUAAAUUUCAAUUUGGACAAAGCAAUUCAUGUGAUCCUUAUUCCUUCUGUUGUUCUUUUUAAAGUAUUGAUUAUUCGCUUUGCUAUAGGCUCCAGUAGCACCUGAUAAACAAAUUUCAGCAAUGGUUGAUGAGUCGGUUAAACUUGCAAAAAUGUUCUGUGAGAAGAAAUGGCCUAUUUAUGCUCUUUGUGAUUCUCAUCAUCCGGAUGUGCCUGAACCACCUUAUCCUCCUC
RNAcentral lists this long non-coding RNA (15635 nucleotides) under Capsicum annuum. Its description in RNAcentral is "long non-coding RNA (CANN_LNC020003)". The record is from RNAcentral. Lineage: Eukaryota; Viridiplantae; Streptophyta; Magnoliopsida; Solanales; Solanaceae.